UACGUAGGUGGCGAGCGUUGUCCGGAUUUACUGGGUGUAAAGGGCGUGUAGGCGGGGAAACAAGUCAGAUGUGAAAUUCCGUGGCUUAACUGCGGGGCUGCAUCUGAAACUGUUUUUCUUGAGUGCUGGAGAGGAAAGUGGAAUUCCCAGUGUAGCGGUGAAAUGCGUAGAGAUUGGGAGGAACACCAGUGGCGAAGGCGGCUUUCUGGACAGUAACUGACGCUGAGGCGCGAAAGCGUGGGGAGCAAACAGG
This 253-nucleotide ribosomal RNA is filed under the name uncultured bacterium. RNAcentral's name for it is "partial 16S ribosomal RNA". It matches the Rfam family "Bacterial small subunit ribosomal RNA", at positions 524 to 776 of the family's 1533-position model. The record is from RNAcentral.